This 85-nucleotide transfer RNA is filed under the name Fusarium tricinctum. Its description in RNAcentral is "tRNA-Lys". It matches the Rfam family "tRNA". From Rfam's summary of the family: Transfer RNA (tRNA) molecules are approximately 80 nucleotides in length. Their secondary structure includes four short double-helical elements and three loops (D, anti-codon, and T loops). The record is from RNAcentral. Lineage: Eukaryota; Fungi; Ascomycota; Sordariomycetes; Hypocreales; Nectriaceae.
ACCUGUGUGACGCAAUUGGUUAGCGUGUCAGACUUUUACAGCAGAUGUAAUCUGAAAGCUCAGGGUUCGAGUCCCUGCACGGGUG